UCCUCCACCAACCCCAAAUCGGACGAGUUGCUCCUCCGAGUUCUCAAGUCCGAGAUUAUCGAGACUCGGACUGAAGAAGAGGUUUCAAAUCUUUUUCAAUUUCUAUUUUUUUUCGUUUAGAUUCUCUUUUGAAUUCUUAGAUUCUACAUUUUGCUGACUGAAAUUAGGUUCGAUUUCUGAUUAAUUGUUACAAAAAUGAUUCACAUGAUCAUUUUCGGAGAUCUAGAUAAUUCUGAAUGCUCCUUUAAAUUAACUUGUUAGAGAUCAUAAAAUUUUGAUUGGAAUUAAGUCUUCAUGGUGUCAAGUUAUGCAUCUCACCUUGCUUGAUAUGCAGACAUACUUACCUGAGAUUUAAGAAUGCAUUGUUAUAGUUAUUAAACCUAAUUGCCCAUCAAUUUGAUCUUGAAGAAUUUUUGUGUAUGUCUUCUCAACUUACAAUCUUGAUUGAGAGGAGCUUAUUUUAAUUGUUCUCACAUUUCGAUUGUUUUAUAGAUGGAGAUUUUCGAAUCCUCCCCCUUCAAACUCGAAGAAUAUCAUGAACAUCCUAUAAAAUUUGCCAAAGAAUGUAAUGGAGAAAACAUCAGUCUUGAAAUCCAAAUGCGUGAGAAUGAGGAUGAGUACGAGGAUGAGGAUGAGCACGAGGAUGAAGAUGAUCAACAGAUAACACAAUAUUGUUUCCCGAUGGUCAUUAAAGUCUCCAAGCCUAAUUCACCGAGCUUAGAGUUUUCUUGCACUGCUUAUUCUGAUG
RNAcentral lists this long non-coding RNA (748 nucleotides) under Salvia miltiorrhiza (redroot sage). RNAcentral's name for it is "long non-coding RNA (SMIL_LNC011140)". Lineage: Eukaryota; Viridiplantae; Streptophyta; Magnoliopsida; Lamiales; Lamiaceae. The record is from RNAcentral.